UGAGUAACACGUGGGUGAUCUGCCCUGCACUUCGGGAUAAGCCUGGGAAACUGGGUCUAAUACCGGAUAGGAGCCAUUUUUAGUGUGAUGGCUGGAAAGUUUUUCGGUGUAGGAUGAGCUCGCGGCCUAUCAGCUUGUUGGUGGGGUAAUGGCCUACCAAGGCGGCGACGGGUAGCCGGCCUGAGAGGGUGGACGGCCACAUUGGGACUGAGAUACGGCCCAG
Molecule: ribosomal RNA, 223 nt
Filed under: uncultured Actinomycetales bacterium
Lineage: Bacteria; Bacillati; Actinomycetota; Actinomycetes; Actinomycetales
Description: partial 16S ribosomal RNA
Rfam family: Bacterial small subunit ribosomal RNA
Source: RNAcentral